This 327-nucleotide unclassified non-coding RNA is filed under the name Hevea brasiliensis (rubber tree). The record is from RNAcentral. Lineage: Eukaryota; Viridiplantae; Streptophyta; Magnoliopsida; Malpighiales; Euphorbiaceae.
CUCUUUUUUUUAUAUUUUUUUUUCCAUAAACUAACUCAGCUAAGCAUCUAUCACAAAUAUUUUCUUCCAGUAAACAUUGUUCUUAAUGUAUCAUUUGAAAGCAUGCAACAACAAGGUUUUAGGAAAAAAAUAUUUAUCCAUCCUCCAUUUUCUUGAAUUUCCUUCUCUCCCAAAGAGGCACAGAUGCAUGGACACAUACACACACAGAUGCACAUGCAUAUACUUGAAGAUCAAAGAUGCAUAGAUCGUAGGCCCGAGAUGCAAGAUGGCUAAAACACAUUUAAAGACAAAUCAAUAAAUAUGCAGCAGCAGGGAUCAAUAAAAAAG